GACUCUGGUAUUGAUUGGUGCUUGCAUCAUGAUUUACAUUUGAGUGAGUGGCGAACUGGUGAGUAACACGUGGGAAACCUGCCCAGAAGCGGGGGAUAACACCUGGAAACAGAUGCUAAUACCGCAUAACAACUUGGACCGCAUGGUCCGAGUUUGAAAGAUGGCUUCGGCUAUCACUUUUGGAUGGUCCCGCGGCGUAUUAACUAGAUGGUGGGGUAACGGCUCACCAUGGCAAUGAUACGUAGCCGACCUGAGAGGGUAAUCGGCCACAUUGGGACUGAGACACGGCCCAAACUCCUACGGGAGGCAGCAGUAGGGAAUCUUCCACAAUGGACGAAAGUCUGAUGGAGCAACGCCGCGUGAGUGAAGAAGGGUUUCGGCUCGUAAAACUCUGUUGUUAAAGAAGAACAUAUCUGAGAGUAACUGUUCAGGUAUUGACGGUAUUUAACCAGAAAGCCACGGCUAACUACGUGCCAACAUCCGCGGUAAUACGUAGUGGCAAGCGUUGUCCGGAUUUAUUGGGCGUAAAGCGAGCGCAAGCGGUUUUUUAAGUCUGAUGUGAAAGCCUUCGGCUCAACCGAAGAAGUGCAUCGGAACUGGGAAACUUGA
This 609-nucleotide ribosomal RNA is filed under the name Lactiplantibacillus plantarum. Its description in RNAcentral is "bacterial SSU rRNA". It matches the Rfam family "Bacterial small subunit ribosomal RNA", at positions 68 to 645 of the family's 1533-position model. Lineage: Bacteria; Bacillati; Bacillota; Bacilli; Lactobacillales; Lactobacillaceae. The record is from RNAcentral.